RNAcentral lists this ribosomal RNA (253 nucleotides) under uncultured bacterium. Its description in RNAcentral is "partial 16S ribosomal RNA". It matches the Rfam family "Bacterial small subunit ribosomal RNA", at positions 524 to 776 of the family's 1533-position model. The record is from RNAcentral.
UACGAAGGGGGCUAGCGUUGUUCGGAAUGACUGGGCGUAAAGGGCGCGUAGGCGGACUGGUUAGUCAGACGUGAAAUUCCUGGGCUCAACCUGGGGGCUGCGUUUGAGACGGCUGGUCUAGAGUGGGGAAGAGGGUUGUGGAAUUCCCAGUGUAGAGGUGAAAUUCGUAGAUAUUGGGAAGAACACCGGUGGCGAAGGCGGCAACCUGGUCCUUGACUGACGCUGAGGCGCGAAAGCGUGGGGAGCAAACAGG